AUUGAGCAGGGUGUACAUCUCUAAAUACUUGUGCCUUCAAACGUUUUAAUAUAAAUAACUUACACUACCACGGGGCACAUUGAGAGAUGGAAAGAUUAUUUUCAUCUACAUUAAAGGAGAAUUACAAGCUUCAUAAGCAUAUAUCUCCGGCGGCCGUGCCGAAUCGCCCUUCUCUGUCAUACCCAUCCAAUACGAUCAGUCCCGCACAAAUCUCCUAAUCCGCUACAAUAUUAUUCGAGUACCUACCCGCGCUCCACGUAAGCACUCACCCGCAAACUGUACUCAGAAACAAUUUGCAUUUUUUUGCCUAACCUGUAGCCCUAAAGUAGCAAAAACAUUUCCGUUAAGAGGCAAAUCUCGUUCGUCAGGCUUGGAAUUCUCCCUUGAUAGAGUGAAAAUAAAACAACAAAUACGACGGGCCGACUGAAAUGGAAUAAUUGGUCGAGAAUUUUCUAGCAGGGGUUCUCUCACCACUGCUAACGAACUCCGGGUGGAUGGCGAUUGGAAUUGGAAGUAGAGUUUGCCAUUGUCUCAGGUAAAGAUGACAAAAUGGCAGAUGUUGAACUUGUUACUCUGUCGCAUGGUUUCCCAAAUUGUGGUUAGAUAAGAAAGAUGAAUGUCAUCAGGCCUUUUGAGAUUUUGCUGCUCAUAACCAAGUCUUUCAGUAAGUUUGUGAUGUAAUAUUACUUUAUUUGUUUGGUUGCAACAUUACUAGCUCUAGCACCGCUCAUAUGAUGCUUUCAUGAAUGUGAGUUGCUUGGCUUGAAUGACUUCCUAAAAGCAGAGUGGGUACAGUGGCAUGGUCGUGCUCCUGGAAUACCAAAUUGGUUAGACCCAGGGUGAUUCGUUGCUCAUAUUGUGCCUGCAAAUUGGUCAGACUGGUUUGUGCUCCUAUUGCUCUUUAAUUAUGCCUUAUAGAUCCUUUUGCUCA
This is a long non-coding RNA of Coffea eugenioides, 931 nucleotides long. RefSeq lists it as uncharacterized. The transcript has 3 exons. The record is from RefSeq and is a predicted model, not a curated record. Lineage: Eukaryota; Viridiplantae; Streptophyta; Magnoliopsida; Gentianales; Rubiaceae.